CCUACGGGAGGCAGCAGUGGGGAAUAUUGCACAAUGGGGGAAACCCUGAUGCAGCGACGCCGCGUGAGUGAAGAAGUAUUUCGGUAUGUAAAGCUCUAUCAGCAGGGAAGAAAAUGACGGUACCUGAAUAAUAAGCCCCGGCUACCUCCGUGCCAGCAGCCGCGGUAAUACGUAGGGGGCAAGCGUUAUCCGGAUUUACUGGGUGUAAAGGGAGCGUAGACGGCAGUGCAAGUCUGGAGUGAAAUGCGGGGGCUCAACCCCCGGACUGCUCUGGAAACUGUAAGGCUGGAGUGCAGGAGAGGUAAGCGGAAUUCCUGGUGUAGCGGUGAAAUGCGUAGAUAUCAGGAGGAACACCAGUGGCGAAGGCGGCUUACUGGACUGUAACUGACGUUGAGGCUCGAAAGCGUGGGGAGCAAACAGGAUUAGAUACCCUAGUAGUC
Molecule: ribosomal RNA, 440 nt
Filed under: uncultured bacterium
Lineage: Bacteria
Description: partial 16S ribosomal RNA
Rfam family: Bacterial small subunit ribosomal RNA
Source: RNAcentral